UACAGAGGUCCCAAGCGUUGUUCGGAUUCACUGGGCGUAAAGGGUGCGUAGGUGGUUGGGUAAGUCUGAUGUGAAAUCUCUGAGCUUAACUCGGAAAUGGCAUUGGAUACUAUUCGGCUAGAGGGUUUGAGGGGGGACUGGAAUACUUGGUGUAGCAGUGAAAUGCGUAGAUAUCAAGUGGAACACCAGUGGCGAAGGCGAGUCCCUGGAAAACUCCUGACACUGAGGCACGAAAGCUAGGGGAGCAAACAGG
RNAcentral lists this ribosomal RNA (253 nucleotides) under uncultured bacterium. Its description in RNAcentral is "partial 16S ribosomal RNA". It matches the Rfam family "Bacterial small subunit ribosomal RNA", at positions 524 to 776 of the family's 1533-position model. The record is from RNAcentral.